AAUGUUCCACCACCAAGAUCAUAUAC
RNAcentral lists this small RNA (26 nucleotides) under Arabidopsis thaliana (thale cress). Its description in RNAcentral is "ATSL005700". Lineage: Eukaryota; Viridiplantae; Streptophyta; Magnoliopsida; Brassicales; Brassicaceae. The record is from RNAcentral.